RNAcentral lists this ribosomal RNA (459 nucleotides) under uncultured bacterium. RNAcentral describes it as "partial 16S ribosomal RNA". It matches the Rfam family "Bacterial small subunit ribosomal RNA", at positions 338 to 795 of the family's 1533-position model. The record is from RNAcentral.
CCUACGGGGGGCAGCAGUGGGGAAUAUUGGUCAAUGGCCGAGAGGCUGAACCAGCCAAGUCGCGUGAGUGAAGACGGCCCUACGGGUUGUAAACCUCUUUUGUCGGGGAGCAAAGCGAGUCACGUGUUACUCAUUGAGAGUACCCGAAGAAAAAGCAUCGGCUAACUCCGUGCCAGCAGCCGCGGUAAUACGGAGGCUGCGAGCGUUAUCCGGGUUUAGUGUGUUUAAGGGGUGCGCAGGGGGAGGGGAAAGUGAGCGGUCAAGUUGCGGGGUUAAACCCCGUACUGCCGUUGAAACUGCAUGCCUUGAGUGCGCGAGAGGUAUGCGGAAUGCGUGGUGUAGCGGUGAAAUGCAUAGAUAUCACGAAGAACUCCGAUUGCGAAGGCAGCAUACCGGCGCGCAACUGACGCUGAUGCACGAAAGCGUGGGUAUCGAACAGGAUUAGAUACCCGGGUAGUC